RNAcentral lists this long non-coding RNA (902 nucleotides) under Sinocyclocheilus anshuiensis. Its description in RNAcentral is "lncRNA (ENSSANG00000044420.1)". Lineage: Eukaryota; Metazoa; Chordata; Actinopteri; Cypriniformes; Cyprinidae. The record is from RNAcentral.
CUUUUAUCCUGAAAUGCGGGCGCGAGUGCGCAUGCCCGGAAGUGCGUUUAGAUUCACUAGAAACUGUUCCUGCUGCAUUUCACCGAAUAAAUGUGUUUAUUUCAUUAGUCGAUCACAUCAACAGGCUCGUUCACUGAUUCCAGGUGUCAGGAUGGUGUGUGAGCUGCUGCUCUCCUCGGUCUGGUUCCUGUUCGUCAUCUUCUGGCUGGAGACCAUCAGUGUUUGGCUCUUCCUGUGUCUGUACUAUCAGGAUCGGGUUUUCUAUCACUGGGGUUCAGGUGAGUCUGCAGAUGAUCCAGAUCAGUUCCUCUACGUGUUGAGCAGGUGAGCUUUAUUUCUGCUUCUGAUACGGAAAGAUAAAGAAAACGGCUGCUGUCUCACCUGAUUCAGUUCUGUCAGUGUGCUCUUGUUACACAAACAAAUACUACAAAAUCAAGCUCAUCUUCUCCCACAGAAUUGACCUUUCUGCGCACAUGCAGACGUGAGGAAGUGAUGUCAUUGCUCGAGUGUGAGGUCACAUGAAGGGACGCGGGAGGGUCAGAGGUCAGCGGAUGCUCGUGACGUCAGAGAGCCUGUGAUGGGAGGUUUCUACAGAUGGAUAGAGUCGAGAGAUUCAGCAGAAACACAUUAAACAUGAGCAGUGUUUGCAGGAACAUGAAAUGUUGUAGUCUUGAGGUUUUAGGUUUCUUCACAUGAUCAGUGACAAACCGUAAUGUCUUUAAAACUGUUACCUGUGUGAACAUGACUGACUGAGUUUAACCAGUUCAUCUCUUUAACUAGUUGGAAUUUCAUUUUAUAAAACUUUAGCAUCUCCGGAUUAACUUUUAUCUAAUUAUUGUUCUUUCUAUUUUUGUACCAGUUUGUCUUUUUUACCUAAUAAUAAAAAUGAAGCAGUUUUAAUA